AGCUCGUGUCGUGAGAUGUUGGGUUAAGUCCCGCAACGAGCGCAAACCCUCGUUCUAUGUUGCCAGCGCGUGAUGGCGGGGACUCAUAGGAGACUGCCGGGGUCAACUCGGAGGAAGGUGGGGAUGACGUCAAAUCAUCAUGCCCCUUAUGACCUGGGCUACACACGUGCUACAAUGGUUGGUACAACGAGUUGCGAGUCGGUGACGGCGAGCUAAUCUCUUAAAGCCAAUCUCAGUUCGGAUUGUAGGCUGCAACUCGCCUACAUGAAGUCGGAAUCGCUAGUAAUCGCGGAUCAGCACGCCGCGGUGAAUACGUUCCCGGGCCUUGUACACACCGCCCGUCACACCACGAGAGUUUGUAACACCCGAAGUCGGUGAGGUAACCUUUUGGAGCCAGCCGCCUAAGGUGGGACAGAUGAUUGGGGUGAAGUCGGAACAAGGUAGCCGUAUCGGAAGGUGCGGCUGGAUCACC
RNAcentral lists this ribosomal RNA (472 nucleotides) under uncultured Streptococcus sp. Its description in RNAcentral is "bacterial SSU rRNA". It matches the Rfam family "Bacterial small subunit ribosomal RNA", at positions 1057 to 1527 of the family's 1533-position model. The record is from RNAcentral. Lineage: Bacteria; Bacillati; Bacillota; Bacilli; Lactobacillales; Streptococcaceae.